GGGCGUAAGAGCUCGUAGGCGGUUUGUCGCGUCUGCUGUGAAAUCCCGAGGCUCAACCUCGGGCUUGCAGUGGGUACGGGCAGACUAGAGUGCGGUAGGGGAGAUUGGAAUUCCUGGUGUAGCGGUGGAAUGCGCAGAUAUCAGGAGGAACACCGAUGGCGAAGGCAGAUCUCUGGGCCGUAACUGACGCUGAGGAGCGAAAGCGUGGGGAGCGAACAGGAUUAGAUACCCUGGUAGUCCACGCCGUAAACGUUGGGCGCUAGAUGUAGGGACCUUUCCACGGUUUCUGUGUCGUAGCUAACGCAUUAAGCGCCCCGCCUGGGGAGUACGGCCGCAAGGCUAAAACUCAAAGGAAUUGACGGGGGCCCGCACAAGCGGCGGAGCAUGCGGAUUAAUUCGAUGCAACGCGAAGAACCUUACCAAGGCUUGACAUACACCGGAAACGGCCAGAGAUGGUCGCCCCCUUGUGGUCGGUGUACAGGUGGUGCAUGGUUGUCGUCAGCUCGUGUCGUGAGAUGUUGGGUUAAGUCCCGCAACGAGCGCAACCCUCGUUCUAUGUUGCCAGCGCGUUAUGGCGGGGACUCAUAGGAGACUGCCGGGGUCAACUCGGAGGAAGGUGGGGAUGACGUCAAAUCAUCAUGCCCCUUAUGUCUUGGGCUUCACGCAUGCUACAAUGGCCGGUACAAAGGGCUGCGAUACCGUAAGGUGGAGCGAAUCCCAAAAAGCCGGUCUCAGUUCGGAUUGAGGUCUGCAACUCGACCUCAUGAAGUCGGAGUCGCUAGUAAUCGCAGAUCAGCAACGCUGCGGUGAAUACGUUCCCGGGCCUUGUACACACCGCCCGUCAAGUCAUGAAAGUCGGUAACACCCGAAGCCGGUGGCCUAACCCUUGUGGAAGAGCCGUCGAAGUGGGAUCGGUGA
This 918-nucleotide ribosomal RNA is filed under the name Curtobacterium sp. Its description in RNAcentral is "bacterial SSU rRNA". It matches the Rfam family "Bacterial small subunit ribosomal RNA", at positions 556 to 1474 of the family's 1533-position model. The record is from RNAcentral. Lineage: Bacteria; Bacillati; Actinomycetota; Actinomycetes; Micrococcales; Microbacteriaceae.